GACGAACGCUGGCGGCGUGCUUAACACAUGCAAGUCGAACGGUGAAGCGCCUUCCUUUUUGGUGGGUGUGGAUGAGUGGCGAACGGGUGAGUAACACGUGAGUAACCUGCCCCCUUCUUCUGGAUAACCGCAUGAAAGUGUGGCUAAUACGGGAUAUUCUGGGUCUGUCGCAUGAUGGGUCUGGGAAAGAUAUUGUUUCGGUGGGGGAUGGGCUCGCGGCCUAUCAGCUUGUUGGUGGGGUGAUGGCCUACCAAGGCGGUGACGGGUAGCCGGCCUGAGAGGGUGGACGGUCACAUUGGGACUGAGACACGGCGCAGACUCCUACGGGAGGCAGCAGUGGGGAAUAUUGCACAAUGGGCGCAAGCCUGAUGCAGCGACGCCGCGUGAGGGAUGGAGGCCUUCGGGUUGUGAACCUCUUUCGCCAGUGAAGCAGGCCUGCCUCGUUUGUGGGUGGGUUGACGGUAGCUGGAUAAGAAGCGCCGGCUAACUACGUG
This 494-nucleotide ribosomal RNA is filed under the name uncultured bacterium. Its description in RNAcentral is "partial 16S ribosomal RNA". It matches the Rfam family "Bacterial small subunit ribosomal RNA", at positions 28 to 507 of the family's 1533-position model. The record is from RNAcentral.